This 1593-nucleotide ribosomal RNA is filed under the name Salmonella enterica. Its description in RNAcentral is "partial 23S ribosomal RNA". It matches the Rfam family "Bacterial large subunit ribosomal RNA", at positions 1 to 1495 of the family's 2925-position model. RNAcentral also lists the same sequence under 1 other name. Lineage: Bacteria; Pseudomonadati; Pseudomonadota; Gammaproteobacteria; Enterobacterales; Enterobacteriaceae. The record is from RNAcentral.
UGUGAGGUUAAGCGACUAAGCGUACACGGUGGAUGCCCUGGCAGUCAGAGGCGAUGAAGGGCGUGCUAAUCUGCGAUAAGCGCCGGUAAGGUGAUAUGAACCGUUAUAACCGGCGAUACCCGAAUGGGGAAACCCAGUGUGACUCGUCACACUAUCAUUAACUGAAUCCAUAGGUUAAUGAGGCGAACCGGGGGAACUGAAACAUCUAAGUACCCCGAGGAAAAGAAAUCAACCGAGAUUCCCCCAGUAGCGGCGAGCGAACGGGGAGGAGCCCAGAGCCUGAAUCAGCAUGUGUGUUAGUGGAAGCGUCUGGAAAGGCGCGCGAUACAGGGUGACAGCCCCGUACACAAAAGCGCAUGUGCUGUGAGCUCGAUGAGUAGGGCGGGACACGUGGUAUCCUGUCUGAAUAUGGGGGGACCAUCCUCCAAGGCUAAAUACUCCUGACUGACCGAUAGUGAACCAGUACCGUGAGGGAAAGGCGAAAAGAACCCCGGCGAGGGGAGUGAAAAAGAACCUGAAACCGUGUACGUACAAGCAGUGGGAGCCCCACCACCAAAGCAUUUGCUGUACCGCGUUGACGGAGCGAAGCGACGUCAAACCGAUAAAACAGCAGUGUAAAGUGAGCCGCAGGGCGCUUUGCGCGACAGCGCAAAGGCAGGCGGUUUCGCGUAGCGAAAGCGAAUGCUUUGGGGUGGGGUGACUGCGUACCUUUUGUAUAAUGGGUCAGCGACUUAUAUUCUGUAGCAAGGUUAACCGAAUAGGGGAGCCGGAGGGAAACCGAGUCUUAAUUGGGCGUUAAGUUGCAGGGUAUAGACCCGAAACCCGGUGAUCUAGCCAUGGGCAGGUUGAAGGUUGGGUAACACUAACUGGAGGACCGAACCGACUAAUGUUGAAAAAUUAGCGGAUGACCUGUGGCUGGGGGUGAAAGGCCAAUCAAACCGGGAGAUAGCUGGUUCUCCCCGAAAGCUAUUUAGGUAGCGCCUCGUGAAUUCAUCUCCGGGGGUAGAGCACUGUUUCGGCUAGGGGGCCAUCCCGGCUUACCAACCCGAUGCAAACUGCGAAUACCGGAGAAUGUUAUCACGGGAGACACACGGCGGGUGCUAACGUCCGUCGUGAAGAGGGAAACAACCCAGACCGCCAGCUAAGGUCCCAAAGUCAUGGUUAAGUGGGAAACGAUGUGGGAAGGCCCAGACAGCCAGGAUGUUGGCUUAGAAGCAGCCAUCAUUUAAAGAAAGCGUAAUAGCUCACUGGUCGAGUCGGCCUGCGCGGAAGAUGUAACGGGGCUAAACCAUGCACCGAAGCUGCGGCAGCGACACUGUGUGUUGUUGGGUAGGGGAGCGUUCUGUAAGCCUGUGAAGGUGUGUCGUGAGGCAUGCUGGAGGUAUCAGAAGUGCGAAUGCUGACAUAAGUAACGAUAAAGCGGGUGAAAAGCCCGCUCGCCGGAAGACCAAGGGUUCCUGUCCAACGUUAAUCGGGGCAGGGUGAGUCGACCCCUAAGGCGAGGCCGAAAGGCGUAGUCGAUGGGAAACGGGUUAAUAUUCCCGUACUUGGUGUUACUGCGAAGGGGGGACGGAGAAGGCUAUGUUGGCCGGG